Molecule: ribosomal RNA, 462 nt
Filed under: uncultured Acidimicrobiales bacterium
Lineage: Bacteria; Bacillati; Actinomycetota; Acidimicrobiia; Acidimicrobiales
Description: bacterial SSU rRNA
Rfam family: Bacterial small subunit ribosomal RNA
Source: RNAcentral
GACGAACGCUGGCGGCGUGCUUAACACAUGCAAGUCGAACGAACCCGAGACUUCGGUCUCAAUGGGUGAGUGGCGAACGGGUGAGUAACACGUGAGAAACCUGCCCUGAAGAUUGGGACAACCAAGGGAAACUUUGGCUAAUACCGAAUACCCUGGAUGCGUCGCAUGGCGCGCCCAGGAAAUGCUCCGGUGCUUCAGGAGGGUCUCGCGGCCUAUCAGCUUGUUGGUGAGGUAAUGGCUCACCAAGGCAUCGACGGGUAGCUGGUCUGAGAGGACGAUCAGCCACACUGGGACUGAGACACGGCCCAGACUCCUACGGGAGGCAGCAGUGGGGAAUCUUGCGCAAUGGGCGAAAGCCUGACGCAGCAACGCCGCGUGGGGGAAGAAGGCUCUCGGGUCGUAAACCCCUUUCAGGAGGGACGAAAUUGACGGUACCUCCAGAAGAAGAACCGGCCAACUACG